This is a long non-coding RNA of Ahaetulla prasina, 353 nucleotides long. RefSeq lists it as uncharacterized. NCBI's taxonomy places the organism in Eukaryota, Metazoa, Chordata, Lepidosauria, Squamata, Colubridae. The record is from RefSeq and is a predicted model, not a curated record. The transcript is spliced from 5 exons.
AUAAUUUCUGUACCCUCCAAGUAAAAUGUGAAGUUUGAAGUUACAAUACUAGAAGAAAAAAAUAAAGGAAUUGAUUGAAGAAGGGAGUGUGACCAGUACCCUGACGGAAAGUGAUUGCAUACUUGUAGAAUUCGUGGUCUUCAGGGCAAGAAGAGCUGGAUGACAAAGAGCAGAUUCUGAGGCUACAAAACUUCGCUGUGAUCCUUGUUCCAGUCCACCUAUUGAAAUCUUUUAUCAGCUACAAAUAUAGGUAAUGCCCAGAGUCUCACAGUUUUGCCGGUGCCUGUCUUCAUCUUGGAAAAUCGCUUCCUCUGUGAGCUAUUCCUGUAGCAAAUCUUUGGCCUCUCUCAGCA